Long non-coding RNA from Chenopodium quinoa (quinoa), 324 nucleotides. RefSeq lists it as uncharacterized. Lineage: Eukaryota; Viridiplantae; Streptophyta; Magnoliopsida; Caryophyllales; Amaranthaceae. The transcript is spliced from 3 exons. The record is from RefSeq and is a predicted model, not a curated record.
ACAAAACAAAACAAAAAAUAAAAAAUUAAAAAAUUAAAAAAAAUUCGCCUGCUGCUGCCACCGCUGCCCUCGCCACCUGCUGCCACCACCCAGCCGGAGAGGACUUCGUAGAAGGUGACUUCUAGUCUUAAGGUGGCCAACCAAUUCGUGUACUCAAGAUUAAUCACAGGUUUUUACACAAACUGAACUUGCAUCAAGGUGAUGAGAUUUUGAGUGGAGCAUUGGUUAAUCUCUUAGCUUAUUUCAUUUCAUAAAUUGAUUUUAUUUUGACACUAAUUCUAUUUACUUCCUAUUUUACUGGGUUUUGAAUAAGGGUCGUUAUGG